CCUGAACGCUGGCGGCGUGGCUAAGACAUGCAAGUCGAGCGGUAAGGCCCUUUCGGGGGUACACGAGCGGCGAACGGGUGAGUAACACGUGGGUGACCUGCCCUUAGCUCUGGGAUAAGCCUGGGAAACUGGGUCUAAUACCGGAUAUGACUCCAUGACGCAUGUUGUGGGGUGGAAAGCCUUGUGCGGCUAGGGAUGGGCCCGCGGCCUAUCAGCUUGUUGGUGGGGUGAUGGCCACCAAGGCGACGACGGGUAGCCGGCCUGAGAGGGCGACCGGCCACACUGGGACUGAGACACGGCCUAGACUCCUACGGGAGGCAGCAGUGGGGAAUCUUGCGCAAUGGGCGAAAGCCUGACGCAGCGACGCCGCGUGCGGGAAGAAGGCC
This 386-nucleotide ribosomal RNA is filed under the name uncultured bacterium. Its description in RNAcentral is "bacterial SSU rRNA". It matches the Rfam family "Bacterial small subunit ribosomal RNA", at positions 30 to 416 of the family's 1533-position model. The record is from RNAcentral.